RNAcentral lists this unclassified non-coding RNA (598 nucleotides) under Melitaea cinxia (Glanville fritillary). RNAcentral describes it as "misc RNA ENSMCXG00005014867.1". The record is from RNAcentral. Lineage: Eukaryota; Metazoa; Arthropoda; Insecta; Lepidoptera; Nymphalidae.
AUGCUGAAUACAGCUUUCUCUCUUUGCCCUCUACUUCGCAGGCACCACAAGGACUUACUUUUGAAAAAACACUAGAUUCUACAUUAACUGAACGUGAGAAGAUCCUGCUGAAUCAUUUGACUCAAACUAAAUUAAGCUUAAAGCGUUUGGCAGUCAAAAUGCGAACUGUGAGGAAGACACUAAUAAAUUGUUUGUAGCUUAUAACGAUAUUAGCAGGGUCCGCACUGACAUGCCUAAUAGAAAUAAUAAUGAUGACAUUCAAGUUGUUGAUGAGAUAGUUUAUCCUGUUUUGUCUUUGCCCAAUGAAAUCGAUUUCUUUUUAUAUGAAAAUGAUUUAUGUAACUUUUUGGAGCAGCCAGUAGUAUAUGUUAGUGGUUAUUUAGCUGCAAAAUUAUUAGAACGAAAUGUCAGUAAUGUAAAGAUUCGUUAAAAGUUGAUAAACCAGUAGACAACUUAAACAAUUAGUUUUAAAGAAUGGUGGAAAGAUUCGAGCUCAUUGUGCUUUCCUUCUAAACCUUUAUGUCAUUUUGUAAACAAGAGCCAAAUUCAUUUCAAAGCUAUUAUAUCUCAGGACUUAAAAAUUAAAAAUAUAAAGCAG